Molecule: small RNA, 2427 nt
Filed under: Pan troglodytes (chimpanzee)
Lineage: Eukaryota; Metazoa; Chordata; Mammalia; Primates; Hominidae
Description: retained intron
Source: RNAcentral
AGUGCAUCGGGCGGUGCGGGAGAGGAGAGGAGGGGGUCCGGGAACCUCGGCCAGCCCCGGCCUCCGGCGGCUCCUGCCCUCGCGGUUUUUCCGUCUACGAAAUGGGCGCGGUCCCCAGAACCUGCCGAGAGCAGCGAGUGUGCGCCUGCGGGGCUUGGCAGACUGCCUCAGUUUCCCGGUCCCCAAGGGAGCACUGAGCCCUCCUCCGCCUUCACACCAGGCCGGCGCGUGUCCUUGGCGCCCCCUUCCCUAAACCCCUCGCGGCUCCCUCAGGACAACCCCACCCACCACAUUCAGGGCCGGCCUGACCUGGUCCUGCCGCCCCCAGCCCCUUCUUACUUCUCAUACCGGGUUGCGCUCUGUCGCAGCUCUUCCCGGCCCAGGUAGGACUCCUCCGGGAAGCCUUCCUGAUUCCAAGGCCGAGAAGAGGUCUGUGCUGGCCCAUCCUCCUCCAUGCCCCAGUUGUCACUGUCCUUAACAACGCUGUCCUCUGCUCCAGCGCCAGGCAAACUGGGGGCAGUGCCGGGAGGCUAUCUAGGCAGGCGUCCUGUAGGGCGCGUUUGAGCGGGCUCUGCAGAUAUCAGUAGAAGUCCGUUGGAGAGCGCCCGGGCAGGGCGCCCACAGUCUGGCCGGGAGGGACCAGGGCCUGGGUCUGGGCCCCCGGGGAUGGGGUUCCUAUGCGUCCCGAGUGAUCCACUUCUCUGGGUGGGUGGCCUUCCCUGAGAAGGGAGCAUCCCGGAGAGAACGGCGGGCACUCAGUCGCCUCCUCCCCAGCACUGACCCAGGCGGUCUCCAAACUCUGGGUCCCCAACACGGACUUCGACGUCGCAGCCAACUGGAGCCAGAACCGGACCCCGUGCGCCGGCGGCGCCGUUGAGUUCCCGGCGGACAAGAUGGUGUCAGUCCUGGUGCAAGAAGGUCACGCCGUCUCAGACAUGCUCCUGCCGCUGGAUGGGGAACUCGUCCUGGCUUCAGGAGCCGGAUUCGGCGUCUCAGACGUGGGCUCGCACCUGGCCUGUGGCGCGGGCGAACCUGCCGUCUUCCGCGACUCUGACCGCUUCUCCUGGCAUGACCCGCACCUGUGGCGCUCUGGGGACGAGGCACCUGGCCUCUUCUUCGUGGACGCCGAGCGCGUGCCCUGCCGCCACGACGACGUCUUCUUUCCGCCUAGUGCCUCCUUCCGCGUGGGGCUCGGCCCUGGCGCUAGCCCCGUGCGUGUCCGCAGCAUCUCGGCUCUGGGCCGGACGUUCACGCGCGACGAGGACCUGGCUGUUUUCCUGGCGUCCCGCGCGGGCCGCCUACGCUUCCACGGGCCGGGCGCGCUGAGCGUGGGCCCCGAGGACUGCGCGGACCCGUCGGGCUGCGUCUGCGGCAACGCGGAGGCGCAGCCGUGGAUCUGCGCGGCCCUGCUCCAGCCCCUGGGCGGCCGCUGCCCCCAGGCCGCCUGCCACAGCGCCCUCCGGCCCCAGGGGCAGUGCUGUGACCUCUGUGGAGCCGUUGUGUUGCUGACCCACGGCCCCGCAUUUGACCUGGAGCGGUACCGGGCGCGGAUAUUGGACACCUUCCUGGGUCUGCCUCAGUACCAGGGGCUGCAGGUGGCCGUGUCCAAGGUGCCACGCUCGUCCCGGCUCCGUGAGGCCGCUACGGAGAUCCAGGUGGUGCUGGUGGAGAAUGGGCCCGAGACAGGCGGAGCGGGGCGGCUGGCCCGGGCCCUCCUGGCGGACGUCGCCGAGAACGGUAACCGCGCCCGUCCCAUCCCGCCCCGCCGCGCCUCGCCCCGCCGCGGGGAAGACUGAGCCGGCCCCUCCGUCACAGGCGAGGCCCUCGGCGUCCUGGAGGCGACCAUGCGGGAGUCGGGCGCACACGUCUGGGGCAGCUCCGCGGCUGGGCUGGCGGGCGGCGUGGCGGCUGCCGUGCUGCUGGCGCUGUUGGUCCUGCUGGUGGCGCCGCCGCUGCUGCGCCGCGCAGGGAGGCUCAGGUACGCGGGGCGGGGGCGCGGAGGUGGGGCUGGGGGUUGCUCCGAGGGGCUCACGCUGCGUCCCCGCUACGCCCUCAGGUGGAGGAGGCACGAGGCGGCGGCCCCGGCUGGAACGCCCCUCGGCUUCCACAACCCGGUGUUCGACGUGACGGCCUCCGAGGAGCUGCCCCUGCCGCGGCCGCUCAGCCUGGUUCCGAAGGCGGCCGCAGACAGCACCAGCCACAGUUACUUCGUCAACCCUCUGUUCACCGGGGCCGAGGCCGAGGCCUGAGCGGCCGCCUGACCGUCGACCUUGGGGCUCUCCACCCCCUCUGGCCCCAGAACCUCCCUGACCCCAGUCGAACUGGGGGCUAGCCACCUCCUCGUCCAGCCCCCAAACCUCCCCUUCCUUUCCCCCUCCUCCGGGGGCCAAGGACAGAGUGGCCUUACUCAGUAAAGGUGUUUCCUGC